Molecule: small RNA, 110 nt
Organism: Lachnoclostridium sp. An14
Lineage: Bacteria; Bacillati; Bacillota; Clostridia; Lachnospirales; Lachnospiraceae
Rfam family: Clostridiales-1 RNA
Source: Rfam
CAGGAAACGCAGUUUCCUGUUAAAUAAGAAAGUAGGGCGGCAGCCCGGAUUUCGAAUGCCGUCGGCAGAUGGCGGGAACGCCGUAGGCGUGGAGCCAUCUGGCUUUCAUG